CCGCCCGCUCCCCGGCCGGCCCCCGGCCCCCGCCCGCUCCCCGGCCGGCCCCCGCCCGCUCCCCGGCAGUUCGCAGGCUGGGGCCAGGACGCCGGGGCGGGCUGUGAGUCCGCUUGGCGACGCCAGCGUUGGCCUGAGGCUGGCUGGGGCCCAGGGUCAAAGCCCGGGCCCAGCAGCCUCAGCCCCGGUUGGUGGGGCUCAGGCCUGGGGCGGUGGGGCUUGGGCUUUGGCCCCCCUGCCCAGGGCGGCGGGGCUCGGGCGAGCUCAGCCUUUGGUCCCCCCUCCUGGGGUCGUGUCCUGAUCUCUGUUAAAAGGGGGUUAUGGUGCAGUGAAGUUUGAGACCCCCGGCUCUAGACCGGGCUUGUCAGGCGUUUGUCUAACCUGCUCGCCAACAAUGAUGGAGAUUCCACAGCCUCCCUCGGCAGUUUGUUCCAGGGCUUAACCACCCUGACAGGAAGCUUUUCUUAAUGUCCAACCUAAACCUCCCUUGCUGCAAUUUGAGCCCAUUGCUUCUUGGCUUAUCCUCAAAGCCUUACUCAACCAGUCAGCCAUCUGGAUGGGAGCAAAGGAAGAUGGUGGACCUGAAUCCAUUAAACAGUAAAGACAAACAGUUCUACCUUGAGCAAUCUGGGGGUGAAAUCGUAUCUACAGAUAAGGGGGAAGAUACCUUGGCAGAGCUAGGUAUUAUUUGCCUGACGGAGUUUUCUCUCCAUCUCCAUCAAAGCUUGAACAGUACUGGCACUUCUGCCUUCUCAAGCAGAGCUCAGUGUAACUGGACCACAUCUAACGCCUGCACAAUGCAAAUGAAGAUUGAAACGGUUGUUUCCUUCUAGGUGUGUGACUAAAUGCUCAAAAGGGAUAUUUUUCCUUAGAUCCUCAGGAGGAUGGAACUUCUCUAAAAGGACCUGUUGGUUUGUUUUCACUGAUGACUGAGUCAACCUUUGAACUAAAG
Molecule: long non-coding RNA, 952 nt
Organism: Caretta caretta (loggerhead turtle)
Lineage: Eukaryota; Metazoa; Chordata; Testudines; Cheloniidae
Source: RefSeq, a predicted model, not a curated record